RNAcentral lists this ribosomal RNA (253 nucleotides) under uncultured bacterium. RNAcentral describes it as "partial 16S ribosomal RNA". It matches the Rfam family "Bacterial small subunit ribosomal RNA", at positions 524 to 776 of the family's 1533-position model. The record is from RNAcentral.
UACGUAGGUGGCAAGCGUUACUCGGAAUCACUAGGCGUAAAGCGCAGGUAGGAGGUUUAGUAAGUCUGUUGUGAAAGCUCCCGGCUUAACUGGGAGAGGUCAACGGAAACUGCUAGGUUGGAGUGCGGUAGAGGUAGCUGGAAUUCCCGGUGUAGCGGUGAAAUGCGUAGAUAUCGGGAGGAAUACCUAUGGCGAAAGCAGGCUACUGGACCGUCACUGACUCUGAUCUGCGAAAGCUAGGGGAGCAAACAGG